This 1020-nucleotide long non-coding RNA is filed under the name Monodelphis domestica (gray short-tailed opossum). RNAcentral's name for it is "lncRNA (ENSMODG00000040083.1)". Lineage: Eukaryota; Metazoa; Chordata; Mammalia; Didelphimorphia; Didelphidae. The record is from RNAcentral.
GAAAUUCUUUCAGGGAUUGUGGACAUUUUUUUUAGGUUUUGCCUUUGUUUGAAUUUCUUCCAGUAUUUCUUCUGUAGCUUGGGUUUUUCCUCCUUAAAAAUUCUCGAGGUUCACAGUCUUUUUUUUUGUUUGUUUGUUUGUUUUGUCUUGUUUUUGGAAGGAUGUUUAGGCUCCUGUGCAUAGUUAGCCAUCUCCAUGUAUGUUUUUCCUUCCCUUUUUAGUCAAAAAUCUGAGUGAUCUGGGCAGGCUCUGUGUAUGGAGUUAAGGAGCAAGGGUUUUGCCUGAGGCAAGCUCUCUAAUCUCCACAGUUCUUUGCAGCUCUUCUCUGUGCUACCUUCCCAGGGGUGUCCAAGGUUUGCGCUCCCCUGCCGGCCUGGGUUUCCUGUCUAGCUGCUUUCAGGGGUAGGUCUCCUGCGGUCCUAGUCAGCUCCCAAGGACCUAGAGGAGCCCUUUGCUCACUCUAGCAGUGCCCCUCACUCGCUCGCUGGUUCUGGCCUGAGCUGACUCUGGUUCUGGCUCUGUAGGUGGGGUUGGGGAGGGUGGAUUGGCUCCCAUUUGGUUGGAAGAUUUUUCACCCUCUUAUAGUUUGGAAAUGCCCCAAUCCAAUGUACUUUCAAUGCUGCACCCUACUGUAUAGUUUCUCCAUUCUUCUGAAAAUGAUUUUUAAGAUCUGUUGAGCUGGUCUUUGUCGGUGUGUGCUGAGGAGAGGAAGUGUCCCACGUCUAGACUGCCUCCAUGCUUACCUGGAAUUCCAGAAGAGGAGCUGAAGUUUUAUCAAAUAAAGUGGCAGAAAGUCCAAUACUUGCUUCAGUUUUCCUCUCCACAUAUUGAAAAGCAAAACAAACUUCAGAAGAGGGACAGCAUAAUAAAAGAGAAAGGAGAAUAAACAGAAGAAAACACAAUUGAGGACUAUAACUGAGAGCCUGAGAGGUCACACUAGAAAGAAACCAAAAAGUUGGGGCAAAAGAUGGUAAGAAAAUGGAGAAGCCAUUGAAAAUCCAAGAUGGGUGGAAGCAGGGG